This 29-nucleotide small RNA is filed under the name Bombyx mori (domestic silkworm). Its description in RNAcentral is "ovarian small RNA-13589". The record is from RNAcentral. Lineage: Eukaryota; Metazoa; Arthropoda; Insecta; Lepidoptera; Bombycidae.
CCAUCAUGGAAUAUAUCCAUUUCUGGAGC